This 376-nucleotide ribosomal RNA is filed under the name uncultured Desulfobulbus sp. Its description in RNAcentral is "bacterial SSU rRNA". It matches the Rfam family "Bacterial small subunit ribosomal RNA", at positions 1011 to 1382 of the family's 1533-position model. Lineage: Bacteria; Pseudomonadati; Thermodesulfobacteriota; Desulfobulbia; Desulfobulbales; Desulfobulbaceae. The record is from RNAcentral.
UGGCUUCCAUCUGGAAGAAUCUGGAGACAGGUGCUGCAUGGCUGUCGUCAGCUCGUGUCGUGAGAUGUUGGGUUAAGUCCCGCAACGAGCGCAACCCUUGCCUUUAGUUGCCAGCAGUUCGGCUGGGCACUCUAAAGGGACUGCCGGGUGUUAAACCGGAGGAAGGUGGGGGAUGACGUCAAGUCCUCAUGGCCUUUAUGACCAGGGCUACACACGUACUACAAUGGCCGAUACAAAGGGCAGCGACACUGCGAGGUGAAGCCAAUCCCGUAAAAUCGGUCUCAGUCCGGAUUGGAGUCUGCAACUCGACUCCAUGAAGUUGGAAUCGCUAGUAAUCGUGGAUCAGCAUGCCACGGUGAAUACGUUCCCGGGCCUU